RNAcentral lists this ribosomal RNA (3105 nucleotides) under Proteus mirabilis. Its description in RNAcentral is "bacterial LSU rRNA". It matches the Rfam family "Bacterial large subunit ribosomal RNA". Lineage: Bacteria; Pseudomonadati; Pseudomonadota; Gammaproteobacteria; Enterobacterales; Morganellaceae. The record is from RNAcentral.
GGGUUGUGAGGUUAAGCGAAUAAGCGUACACGGUGGAUGCCUAGGCAAUCAGAGGCGAUGAAGGACGUGCUAAUCUGCGAAAAGCGUCGGUAAGGUGAUAUGAACCGUUAUACCCGACGAUAUCCGAAUGGGGAAACCCAGUAUCCAAUGGAUACUAUCAUUAACUGAAUCCAUAGGUUAAUGAGGCGAACCGGGAGAACUGAAACAUCUCAGUACCCCGAGGAAAAGAAAUCAACCGAGAUUCCCCUAGUAGCGGCGAGCGAACGGGGAGCAGCCCAGAGUCUUAAUCAAUAGCAGUGUCAGGAGAACGGUCUGGAAAGUCCGGCAGUAAAGGGUGAUAGCCCCGUAUCUGAAGAUGCUGUUAUUGUGAACUCGACGAGUAGGGCGGGACACGUGUUAUCCUGUCUGAAUAUGGGGGGACCAUCCUCCAAGGCUAAAUACUCCUGAUUGACCGAUAGUGAACCAGUACCGUGAGGGAAAGGCGAAAAGAACCCCGGCGAGGGGAGUGAAAAGGGGCUCCUACUGCUUGUACGUACACGGUUUCAGGUUCAUCACUCAAGUGCCUCGCACUGAGUGAUGCAAGAACAUCACCGAAAAUAGCGCCGAAUUUGCUAACAAGGUUGGUCGAUUUUUUCAAGCCGUCGCGCAGUGUACCUAGAAGUACACGAGCAACGGAAGUUAAAAAAUCGGGCAAGAUUGAACGCAAAGGCAAGCGGGACAUUUGAGGAUGGGGUGACUGCGUACCUUUUGUAUAAUGGGUCAGCGACUUAUAUUCUGUAGCAAGGUUAACCGUAUAGGGGAGCCGUAGGGAAACCGAGUCUUAACUGGGCGAAUGAGUUGCAGGGUAUAGACCCGAAACCCGGUGAUCUAUCCAUGGGCAGGUUGAAGGUUGGGUAACACUAACUGGAGGACCGAACCGACUAAUGUUGAAAAAUUAGCGGAUGACUUGUGGAUGGGGGUGAAAGGCCAAUCAAACCGGGAGAUAGCUGGUUCUCCCCGAAAGCUAUUUAGGUAGCGCCUCGUGAACUCAUCUUCGGGGGUAGAGCACUGUUUCGACUAGGGGGUCAUCCCGACUUACCAACUCGAUGCAAACUGCGAAUACCGAAGAAUGUUAUCACGGGAGACACACGGCGGGUGCUAACGUCCGUCGUGAAGAGGGAAACAACCCAGACCGCCAGCUAAGGUCCCAAAGUCAUGGUUAAGUGGGAAACGAAGUGGGAAGGCUCAGACAGCCAGGAUGUUGGCUUAGAAGCAGCCAUCAUUUAAAGAAAGCGUAAUAGCUCACUGGUCGAGUCGGCCCGCGCGGAAGAUGUAACGGGGCUAAACCAUGCACCGAAGCUGCGGCAGCGAACUAUGUGGUUGUUGGGUAGGGGAGCGUUCUGUAAGCCUGCGAAGGUGUACUGUGAGGUAUGCUGGAGGUAUCAGAAGUGCGAAUGCUGACAUAAGUAACGAUAAUGCGGGUGAAAAACCCGCACGCCGGAAGACCAAGGGUUCCUGUCCAACGUUAAUCGGGGCAGGGUGAGUCGACCCCUAAGGCGAGGCUGAAAAGCGUAGUCGAUGGGAAACGGGUUAAUAUUCCCGUACUGGUGGUAACUGCGAUGGGGGAACGGAGAAGGCUAGGUUGUCCGGGCGACGGUCGUCCCGGUUCAAGCAGGUAGGCAGAGUGAUUAGGCAAAUCCGGUCACUUAAUGCUGAGAUGUGAUGACGAACCACCAAGGUGGUGAAGCAAUUGAUGCCCCGCUUCCAGGAAAAGCCUCUAAGCUUCAGGUUACCAACAAUCGUACCCCAAACCGACACAGGUGGUCAGGUAGAGAAUACUCAGGCGCUUGAGAGAACUCGGGUGAAGGAACUAGGCAAAAUGGUGCCGUAACUUCGGGAGAAGGCACGCUGGCGGUAGGUAAAGUCCCUCGCGGACGGCGCUGAAGCCAGUCGAAGAUACCAGCUGGCUGCAACUGUUUAUUAAAAACACAGCACUGUGCAAACACGAAAGUGGACGUAUACGGUGUGACGCCUGCCCGGUGCUGGAAGGUUAAUUGAUGGGGUCAGCCGUAAGGCGAAGCUCCUGAUCGAAGCCCCAGUAAACGGCGGCCGUAACUAUAACGGUCCUAAGGUAGCGAAAUUCCUUGUCGGGUAAGUUCCGACCUGCACGAAUGGCGUAAUGAUGGCCAGGCUGUCUCCACCCGAGACUCAGUGAAAUUGAACUCGCUGUGAAGAUGCAGUGUACCCGCGGCAAGACGGAAAGACCCCGUGAACCUUUACUAUAGCUUGACACUGAACAUUGAGCCUUGAUGUGUAGGAUAGGUGGGAGGCUUUGAAGUGUGGACGCCAGUCUGCAUGGAGCCAACCUUGAAAUACCACCCUUUAACGUUUGAUGUUCUAACCUAGGCCCAUAAACUGGGUCGGGGACCGUGUCUGGUGGGUAGUUUGACUGGGGCGGUCUCCUCCUAAAGAGUAACGGAGGAGCACGAAGGUUGGCUAAGCAUGGUCGGACAUCAUGCGGUUAGUGCAAAGGCAUAAGCCAGCUUGACUGCGAGAGUGACGGCUCGAGCAGGUACGAAAGUAGGUCUUAGUGAUCCGGUGGUUCUGAAUGGAAGGGCCAUCGCUCAACGGAUAAAAGGUACUCCGGGGAUAACAGGCUGAUACCGCCCAAGAGUUCAUAUCGACGGCGGUGUUUGGCACCUCGAUGUCGGCUCAUCACAUCCUGGGGCUGAAGUAGGUCCCAAGGGUAUGGCUGUUCGCCAUUUAAAGUGGUACGCGAGCUGGGUUUAGAACGUCGUGAGACAGUUCGGUCCCUAUCUGCCGUGGGCGUUGGAAGAUUGAGAGGGGUUGCUCCUAGUACGAGAGGACCGGAGUGAACGCACCACUGGUGUUCGGGUUGUCAUGCCAAUGGCAUUGCCCGGUAGCUAAGUGCGGAAGAGAUAACCGCUGAAAGCAUCUAAGCGGGAAACUUGCCUCGAGAUGAGUCUUCCCUGUCACUUUAAGUGACCUAAAGGAACGUUUAAGACUAAGACGUUGAUAGGCUGGGUGUGUAAGCGUAGCGAUACGUUGAGCUAACCAGUACUAAUGAACCGUGAGGCUUAACCUGACAACACCGAAAGUGUUUUG